Molecule: transfer RNA, 77 nt
Filed under: Pseudoalteromonas sp. S409
Lineage: Bacteria; Pseudomonadati; Pseudomonadota; Gammaproteobacteria; Alteromonadales; Pseudoalteromonadaceae
Description: tRNA-Ile
Source: RNAcentral
GGGUCUGUAGCUCAGCUGGUUAGAGCGCACCCCUGAUAAGGGUGAGCAAGGGAGGGAAAAUCGCCUCAGCCCCCCCA